AACCCAGACUCCUACGGGAGGCAGCAGUGGGGAAUAUUGCACAAUGGGGGAAACCCUGAUGCAGCGACGCCGCGUGAGUGAAGAAGUAAUUCGUUAUGUAAAGCUCUAUCAGCAGGGAAGAAAAUGACGGUACCUGAGUAAGAAGCCCCGGCUAACUACGUGCCAGCAGCCGCGGUAAUACGUAGGGGGCAAGCGUUAUCCGGAUUUACUGGGUGUAAAGGGAGCGUAGACGGCGGCGCAAGUCUGGAGUGAAAGCCCGGGGCCCAACCCCGGGACUGCUCUGGAAACUGCGGCGCUGGAGUACGGGAGGGGCAGGCGGAAUUCCUGGUGUAGCGGUGAAAUGCGUAGAUAUCAGGAGGAACACCGGCGGCGAAGGCGGCCUGCUGGACCGUGACUGACGUUGAGGCUCGAGAGCGUGGGGAGCAAACAGGAUUAGAUACCCGUGUA
RNAcentral lists this ribosomal RNA (447 nucleotides) under uncultured bacterium. RNAcentral describes it as "bacterial SSU rRNA". It matches the Rfam family "Bacterial small subunit ribosomal RNA", at positions 328 to 792 of the family's 1533-position model. The record is from RNAcentral.